This 301-nucleotide long non-coding RNA is filed under the name Panax ginseng (ginseng). RNAcentral's name for it is "long non-coding RNA (PGIN_LNC010888)". The record is from RNAcentral. Lineage: Eukaryota; Viridiplantae; Streptophyta; Magnoliopsida; Apiales; Araliaceae.
AUUGCUUUGCUUUAGGUUGGUUGGGCCGCAUUGAUGCUGCACCAAACAAAAGUCUGUUCCUCACCAAGACUAAAACUCUCGGAUGGGAGGAGAUAUUUGGCUUACCAAGAGAUGCCGUCUACAAAACCAUUAUCACUCAUGGCUUUGAUACUUCCAAACACUUGUAUUUACCUAUUUCAAAACUAUUCUAAAUCCCUCCUUCAAUUUCACUCCAACUUUCAAUUUGUAAAAUAUUCUUUCAUUUUUAUUCUCAUCGGUCCGGAUCUUAAGCUCACCCCUUAUUCAAUUCACCCGAGCUCAC